Dicentrarchus labrax (European seabass) is the source of this 1056-nucleotide long non-coding RNA. RefSeq lists it as uncharacterized. The transcript is spliced from 3 exons. The record is from RefSeq and is a predicted model, not a curated record. Lineage: Eukaryota; Metazoa; Chordata; Actinopteri; Moronidae.
GAAUCAUCUGCUCUGCUGGUCAAGCCACAAAACCAAAUAAGCUGCGCAAUGACUUCAGAGGCAAGCUGGCGUCUAGGCAGCCCUCGGGGGAGGUGGCUUGCUAGUGGGGGUCUGUGGAGAGGACCGUCUGCAGCAACAGGGCUGACUCUCACCCUGGCCCCAGCCCAGCACAUUACACUGCUCUCCUGACCCCAACAUAUGGCCUCUGGGACCCACCUCCAACCUUCUCUGACAGCUGUUACUGGUGACUAAUUGUCAUUUGGUCAGACAUCAGACUCCAGGAGAAUUAAAGGUGGAGUCAACCAUUCUGGAGAAAGAUAGUUGAUUGUUGAGUCUCAUUCCCAGGACGUCAAAAAUUUUAAGACUGGGAGCACAAACACCACCGGCUGUGUUGUGUGGCUCGCUCCAAGCAACUUUGUUUUCCAUUUACCAUCACCCAAAGUGUCUGUAUGAAGUGUCUGUAAAAAUGUAUCAACUGAAAAUGUAAAUAAUAAGACAUCAUGGUACCACCCACACUGUUUGAUUUGCACAUGAACCCUGAGAAGUGCAGCAGCUCCACAGCUUAACACCAACUAUGUUGCCAAAAUAACAAAGCAGGAACUUGCGGAGAACCACAUCAAUUAGAGAGAAGUUGAUUCCGUGGAGGAUUCAAUCCAACAGCUGGGAUGCACCAAUCAAGCAGAGGUUUUAUGUUCAGGUUGUAACUUCUGCACUGACUUGAGAGAUGAGAGAUGCAUGCACCUAAAAACAUCCUGGUUUUCGAGGUUUGUCCUUUUGCAUGCCACUUACUGCAUGUCGAGAGCUGAUGGAGUCUGUAGAUAAUGUAGCAGAGUAAAGUCCAAAACAAACAGGCAUGUCCCUUCCACUGAGUCUGACUCAGAGCCUGCCUGUAAGAGCUAAAGCCAAUGUCAACACAACCCAGCUCAGACUUAUAUUGAAGGUUAACAAGCAAACUGAUGUUCUGAAACUCAAAGAGGCUGGAAAUAGUGCUGACUUAAUUGCUUUGUGCUUUGCUUGUAAAGUAAGUUUGUGACAGAUGAGGUCAAACAUUUGUCA